UGAUGUGGCCCAGCCGCACUAUAGGAAGAUCAAUGACAGCUAGUGGAGAAUGGAGCGGAGUAGAGAGAGACUUGAGGCAGGUAGAGACCCCCCCCAACCCCCACAGCUACAGCAAUAGUCUGGGCUUGAGGGGAUAGAGGUCUGGGGUGCCCCAGGGUGGAACAGCAGCAUCAGAGGGCGGGAGAGGGCAUAUAGGAGAGAUGUCACGAAGGUGAAAUCAACAGGCCUUGGCAACAGAUUGGAUGGAGAGGUAAUAGAGUGAGGAGGGGAGGAAGACACCCAGGUAUCUAUCCUGGAGGCCUGGGAGGAUGCUUUUGCCAACUGUUCACUAACCCUAAGAGUCACAAAAAUUCUGACACCGAAAAUCACUGACAGAAGGCAUCUGUGGUGAAUUGGAAAGAACCCUGAACCAAGGGUCAGGAGGCCUGGUUUCCAGUCCCAGACUCUGCUUCUAACCAGGCCUCGUGCUCUAUCUACUGCUCUUCCUAGGCUGGAAGACAGAAACGAACAAAAACAUGAAACAAGCCCUGCCUUCGAGGAGCUUACAUUCUGUUGGAGGAGAUGGCAUGAACACAGAAACCAUAUGUAAUGGAGAGGAGCAUGUAUUCCUGCCAAGGUUUCCUGGACAAGUCUGGGACCAGAAUUGACGUCCGAAUCUACAGUGAGCAGAAGCCAACAUCCUCUCAUUUUCAGAAGCCAAAGGGAAAGAAUGUGUCCACCCUCCCAGUGCUUCCGUGUUGAUCCACCGCACUGACAGGAGCAAUGAACUGCCCCUCCCUGAGCAUGGCCAUAAGCCCCCAGUGUAAAGAAAGAAUAGAUCCACAUAAACCUCAACACUCAUAACAGCUCUUUUUGUGGUAGCAAAAGACUGAAAACAAUGUGGAUGCCCAUCAACGGGAGGCAUAACUCAAUAAGCUGUGGUGUGUGUAAGUGUAUGUACUGGAAUAUUGUUAUCUGGCAAGAAAUGACAAACACAAGAAUUCAGAGAAACAUUAUGGACGACUGCAGUCAAGUGAAGGAAACAGAACCAGAACCGUACAGAAGCUACAAUCAUGUAAAUGAAAAGAAUGCUUAAAGGAAGAAAUGGUACUCUGAGUAACUGUGAUAACCAAUUUUGGUCCCAGGGGACAUAUAAAGAUCCCUAGAGGAGGGGAACUAUGGGGGCCAAAUGCUGCACACUCUGUCAGACAUGGUCAUUGUAUCUAUUGUAUUUCCCUAACUGGUUUUCUUUGUUUCAAUGAAGGCUUUAACUCUAGAGGAAAAGGUGCAGUGGGGAGGGGUGAGUGCAGAAAUGAUGACCAAAUUUAAAAAAGUGUGAAUGAAUCUUAAUUUAAAAUAAUAUUAUUUCUUUAUUGCAAAAUGAAAUGCAGUUGAAUCACAGGCUUGGACUAGAUGGUCUUUAGCAUUCUUCCCUGGGGUGGCUAGGUAGUACAGAGCAUAAA
Non-coding RNA from Phascolarctos cinereus (koala), 1442 nucleotides. The record is from RefSeq and is a predicted model, not a curated record. NCBI's taxonomy places the organism in Eukaryota, Metazoa, Chordata, Mammalia, Diprotodontia, Phascolarctidae.